RNAcentral lists this ribosomal RNA (332 nucleotides) under uncultured eukaryote. RNAcentral describes it as "partial 18S ribosomal RNA". It matches the Rfam family "Eukaryotic small subunit ribosomal RNA", at positions 1470 to 1796 of the family's 1831-position model. The record is from RNAcentral.
CCCUUAGAUGUUCUGGGCUGCACACGUGCUACACUGGCAGGUUCAGCGAGCUUCAUGCCCUGAUCUGAAAGGAAUGGGAAAUCUUUUCAAAACCUGCCGUGCUUGGGAUAGAUGUUUGCAAUUAUUCAUCUUCAACGAGGAUUGCCUUGUAAGCGCACGUCAUCAGCGUGCAUUGAAUACGACCCUGUAUUCUGUAUACACCGCCCGUCGCUCCUACCGAUUGAAGUUUUCGGUGAGUUGACAGGAGGAUUUUUUUGAAACUGGUUCGCCAGUGGAUUUUAGAUCCAAAUGCCAACGAAUCGAUGGCUUUAGAGGAAGGAGAAGUCGUAACA